RNAcentral lists this ribosomal RNA (579 nucleotides) under Rhodanobacter sp. StRD680. RNAcentral's name for it is "bacterial SSU rRNA". It matches the Rfam family "Bacterial small subunit ribosomal RNA", at positions 102 to 676 of the family's 1533-position model. Lineage: Bacteria; Pseudomonadati; Pseudomonadota; Gammaproteobacteria; Lysobacterales; Rhodanobacteraceae. The record is from RNAcentral. RNAcentral also lists the same sequence under 1 other name.
ACGGGUGAGUAAUGCAUCGGGAUCUACCCUGACGUGGGGGAUAACCUCGGGAAACCGGGACUAAUACCGCAUACGUCCUACGGGAGAAAGCGGGGGACCUUUUAGGCCUCGCGCGGCAGGACGAACCGAUGUGCGAUUAGCUAGUUGGCGGGGUAAUGGCCCACCAAGGCGACGAUCGCUAGCUGGUCUGAGAGGAUGAUCAGCCACACUGGGACUGAGACACGGCCCAGACUCCUACGGGAGGCAGCAGUGGGGAAUAUUGGACAAUGGGCGCAAGCCUGAUCCAGCAAUGCCGCGUGUGUGAAGAAGGCCUUCGGGUUGUAAAGCACUUUUAUCAGGAGCGAAAUCUGCAUGCUUAAUACGUGUGCAGUCUGACGGUACCUGAGGAAUAAGCACCGGCUAACUUCGUGCCAGCAGCCGCGGUAAUACGAAGGGUGCAAGCGUUAAUCGGAAUUACUGGGCGUAAAGGGUGCGUAGGCGGUUCGUUAAGUCUGUCGUGAAAUCCCCGGGCUCAACCUGGGAAUGGCGAUGGAUACUGGCGAGCUAGAGUGUGUCAGAGGAUGGUGGAAUUCCCGGUGU